CCAGAAUUAUAGAAAUAGGAAUUGGGAAAUUAAUGACAAUGUUCCAAUUAAAGAAAAUUAUAAUGAUAAUGAACAACAACAAUAUAUGAGAAAUGGAGCUCGUCCAAAAAAUACUCGAGGUACUGAUGACCCUCAGAGAGGUGCCCUUCAGGGGGGUGCCCAAGGAAUAUCCCAAACACAAUGAUGGUGUCCGGGGGGGGGGGGCUGGGGCACAGGAAUCAGAAGAUACAACCUUUGAUUUCCCGGACCCUGAUGUCCUACUACCCGUUGUCCCUAUCCACUGCCCUCCCCAUACUAAUGAACCCCAUGUUACCUUAAAGGUGGGUAACACCUAUUAUGAUUGUCUAUUAGACACCGGAGCUUCCUGGUCUGUAUUAAAGAGAACACCUGAUUUACAAUGUUAUUCUAUUGGCUCAGAGAAUGUAAUGGGAGUAUCAGGAAUAACCCAAAGAGUUAAAAGACUUCCUCCUAGAAUGGUGUCUGUAGGACCCCUAGAGGUACAACACUCCUUCCUUUUGAUGCCUGACUCCCCUUUAAAUUUGCUGGGGAGGGACCUUCUAUGCAAACUCAGAGCCACAAUAACCUGCUUUUAUCUUAGAAGCAGGCCUAGAGGAGACUUACAUAUUUCACCAUUUGAGAUGCUUUUUGGACAUCCGCCUAUACAGGCUAAGCCUUUCUCCCCGGCUUAUACAUCACUAUUAGGGGGAGAUAUUACUAUUGCUUCCUAUAUACAGGAGUUACAGCACAAACUACGUGAACUUCAUGAAUCCGGAGCUGCAGUACAAGCUGGACCAUUAGACUUUUCUCUGCAUGACCUGAACCCAGGAGAUAAAGUUUAUAUCAAGAAUUUCAAGCGAACUGGAGCAACUCAAACUUCAUGGGAAGGACCAUUCCAAAUAUUAUUAACUACUCCAACAUCUAUAAAGAUUGGAGAAAGAGACUCUUGGAUUCACUGCUCACAUGUGAAGAAAGCAUCUUCUGCUGAGACUGAUUGACUCUAUCCUAUCAUAUGAAUUGUGACUCUAUCUUAUCAUAUGAAUUGGAGAUAAUAAUCCAUGGACAAAUGG
Molecule: long non-coding RNA, 1067 nt
Filed under: Monodelphis domestica (gray short-tailed opossum)
Lineage: Eukaryota; Metazoa; Chordata; Mammalia; Didelphimorphia; Didelphidae
Description: lncRNA (ENSMODG00000043498.1)
Source: RNAcentral